AAACAAGAUCCGUCUGGCAGUGGCAGAGACGGUCGGUUUGGGUGGUCACUUUUGGCUGACUUAUUUUCGUACCAAAGCAGACGUGAAACUGUCAUUCGCAAGCCUUAUCCUGUACCUCGGCGAGAAAGAAGAAGAGCUAUUUGAAGAUUGCCCGGAGGACACUCGCAGUGAUGCCGCUGAACAUGUCCUUAAGAUACUGGUCAUCCAUGGUGCUGAUAAAGAGGAUCCAGUCGAU
Carassius carassius (crucian carp) is the source of this 235-nucleotide long non-coding RNA. RefSeq lists it as uncharacterized. The transcript is spliced from 3 exons. The record is from RefSeq and is a predicted model, not a curated record. Lineage: Eukaryota; Metazoa; Chordata; Actinopteri; Cypriniformes; Cyprinidae.